Molecule: non-coding RNA, 134 nt
Organism: Triticum urartu
Lineage: Eukaryota; Viridiplantae; Streptophyta; Magnoliopsida; Poales; Poaceae
Source: Rfam
AUAGUACUCUCUCCAUCUCAAAAUUCUUGUCUUACAUUUUUCUAAAUACGGAUGUAUCAAGUCAUGUUUUAGUAUUAGAUACAUCCGUAUCUAGACAAAUCUAAGAAAGAAUUUUGGGAUGGAGGGAGUACUAC